GAGUUGUAAUCUAGAGAAGCGUCUUCCGUGCUGGACCGUGUACAAGUCUCCUGGAAGGGAGCGUCAUAGAGGGUGAGAAUCCCGUCUUUGACACGGACUACCAGUGCUAUGCGAUGCGCUCUCGACGAGUCGAGUUGUUUGGGAAUGCAGCUCAAAACGGGUGGUAAAUUCCAUCUAAAGCUAAAUACAGGCGAGAGACCGAUAGCGAACAAGUACCGUGAGGGAAAGAUGAAAAGAACUUUGGAAAGAGAGUUAAACAGUACGUGAAAUUGCUGAAAGGGAAACGCUUGAUGUCAGUCACGUCGGCCAGGGAUCAACCUUGCUUCUCGCUGGGUGCACUUCCUGCUCGACGGGUCAGCAUCAGUUUCCGUCGCCGUACAAUGGUGCAAGGAAUGUGGCACUCUUCGGAGUGUGUUAUAGCCUUUCGUCGUAUGCGGUGGUAGGGACUGAGGGAACUCAGCACGGCUUCACAGCUUGUGCUUAGGAUGCUGGCAUAAUGGCCUUAAGCGACCCGUCUUGAAACACGGACCAAGGAGUNUAACAUGCCUGCGAGUGUUUGGGUGCCAAACUCGAGCGCGAAAUGAAAGUGAAAGUUGAGAUCUCUGUCAUGGAGAGCAUCGACGCCCGGACCAGAGUCUUUGACAACGGAUCUGCGGUAGAGCAUGUAUGUUGGGACCCGAAAGAUGGUGAACUAUGCCUGAAUAGGGU
Molecule: ribosomal RNA, 708 nt
Rfam family: Eukaryotic large subunit ribosomal RNA